RNAcentral lists this ribosomal RNA (1434 nucleotides) under uncultured organism. RNAcentral describes it as "SSU rRNA". It matches the Rfam family "Bacterial small subunit ribosomal RNA". The record is from RNAcentral.
CGACAGGCUUAACACAUGCAAGUCGAGGGGCAGCGGGGGUAGCGAUACCCGCCGGCGACCGGCGCACGGGUGAGUAACGCGUAUGCAACUUGCCUAUCAGAGGGGGAUAACCCGGCGAAAGUCGGACUAAUACCGCAUGAAGCAGGGGCCCCGCAUGGGGAUAUUUGCUAAAGAUUCAUCGCUGAUAGAUAGGCAUGCGUUCCAUUAGGCAGUUGGCGGGGUAACGGCCCACCAAACCGACGAUGGAUAGGGGUUCUGAGAGGAAGGUCCCCCACAUUGGUACUGAGACACGGACCAAACUCCUACGGGAGGCAGCAGUGAGGAAUAUUGGUCAAUGGCCGAGAGGCUGAACCAGCCAAGUCGCGUGAGGGAUGAAGGUUCUAUGGAUCGUAAACCUCUUUUAUAAGGGAAUAAAGUGCGGGACGUGUCCCGUUUUGUAUGUACCUUAUGAAUAAGGAUCGGCUAACUCCGUGCCAGCAGCCGCGGUAAUACGGAGGAUCCGAGCGUUAUCCGGAUUUAUUGGGUUUAAAGGGUGCGUAGGCGGCCUUUUAAGUCAGCGGUGAAAGUCUGUGGCUCAACCAUAGAAUUGCCGUUGAAACUGGGGGGCUUGAGUAUGUUUGAGGCAGGCGGAAUGCGUGGUGUAGCGGUGAAAUGCAUAGAUAUCACGCAGAACCCCGAUUGCGAAGGCAGCCUGCCAAGCCAUUACUGACGCUGAUGCACGAAAGCGUGGGGAUCAAACAGGAUUAGAUACCCUGGUAGUCCACGCAGUAAACGAUGAUCACUAGCUGUUUGCGAUACACUGUAAGCGGCACAGCGAAAGCGUUAAGUGAUCCACCUGGGGAGUACGCCGGCAACGGUGAAACUCAAAGGAAUUGACGGGGGCCCGCACAAGCGGAGGAACAUGUGGUUUAAUUCGAUGAUACGCGAGGAACCUUACCCGGGUUUGAACGCAUUCGGACCGAGGUGGAAACACCUUUUCUAGCAAUAGCCGUUUGCGAGGUGCUGCAUGGUUGUCGUCAGCUCGUGCCGUGAGGUGUCGGCUUAAGUGCCAUAACGAGCGCAACCCUUGCCACUAGUUACUAACAGGUAAAGCUGAGGACUCUGGUGGGACUGCCAGCGUAAGCUGCGAGGAAGGCGGGGAUGACGUCAAAUCAGCACGGCCCUUACAUCCGGGGCGACACACGUGUUACAAUGGCGUGGACAAAGGGAGGCCACCUGGCGACAGGGAGCGAAUCCCCAAACCACGUCUCAGUUCGGAUCGGAGUCUGCAACCCGACUCCGUGAAGCUGGAUUCGCUAGUAAUCGCGCAUCAGCCAUGGCGCGGUGAAUACGUUCCCGGGCCUUGUACACACCGCCCGUCAAGCCAUGGGAGCCGGGGGUACCUGAAGUCCGUAACCGAAAGGAUCGGCCUAGGGUAAAACUGGUGACUGGGGC